GAGUUUGAUCAUGGCUCAGGAUGAAUGCUGGCGGCGUGCCUAACACAUGCAAGUCGAGCGGCAGCGAGGGGUGCUUGCACCCUGUCGGCGAGCGGCGGACGGCUGAGUAACGCGUGGGAAUCUACCCUAAAGUGAGGGAUAACCGCCCGAAAGGGUGGCUAAUACCGCAUAUGAUCUUCGGAUUAAAGGAUUUAUCCGCUUUAGGAAGAGCCCGCGUUAGAUUAGGUAGUUGGUAGGGUAAUGGCCUACCAAGCCAACGAUCUAUAGCUGGUCUGAGAGGAUGAUCAGCCAGACUGGAACUGAGACACGGUCCAGACUCCUACGGGAGGCAGCAGUGAGGAAUCUUCCACAAUGGGCGAAAGCCUGAUGGAGCAACGCCGCGUGAAGGAUGAAGGCCUUCGGGUUGUAAACUUCUUUUAUGAGUGAAGAAUAUGACGGUAACUCAUGAAUAAGCACCGGCUAACUACGUGCCAGCAGCCGCGGUCAUACGUAGGGUGCAAGCAUUAUCCGGAGUGACUGGGCGUAAAGAGUUGCGUAGGCGGUUUAGUAAGUGAAUAGUGAAACCUGGUGGCUCAACCAUACAGACUAUUAUUCAAACUGUUAAACUCGAGAGUGGUAGAGGUAACUGGAAUUUCUAGUGUAGGAGUGAAAUCCGUAGAUAUUAGAAGGAACACCAAUGGCGUAGGCAGGUUACUGGACCAUUUCUGACGCUAAGGUACGAAAGCGUGGGGAGCGAACUGGAUUAGAUACCCAGGUAGUCCACGCCGUAAACGAUGGAUACUAGCUGUUGGAGGUAUCGACCCCUUCAGUAGCGAAGCUAACGCGUUAAGUAUCCCGCCUGUGGAGUACGGCCGCAAGGCUAAAACAUAAAGGAAUUGACGGGGACCCGCACAAGCGGUGGAUCAUGUUCUUUAAUUCGAUGAUAAACGAAGAACCUUACCAGGGUUUGACAUCCCGAGAAGAUUUACGAAAGUAAAUUGUGCCUUUUGGAACUCGGUGACAGAUGAUGCAUGGCCGUCGUCAGCUCGUGUCGUGAGAUGUUUGGUUAAGUCCAUCAACGAGCGCAACCCUUGUGAAUAGUUGAAUUUUUCUAUUCAGACUGCCCCGGCAACGGGGAGGAAGGAGGGGAUGAUGUCAGGUCAGUAUUUCUCUUACAUCCUGGGCUAGAAACGUGAUACAAAUGGCAAGUACAAUGCGCAGCGAAGCCGUGAGGUGAAAGCAAAUCGCACCAAAAGCUUGUCCCAAGUUCGGAUUGGAGGCUGAAACUCGCCUCCAUGAAGUCGGAAUCGCUAGUAAUCGCAGGUCAGCAAACUGCGGUAAAUACGUUCCCGGGUCUUGUACACACCGCCCGUCA
This 1354-nucleotide ribosomal RNA is filed under the name uncultured bacterium. Its description in RNAcentral is "bacterial SSU rRNA". It matches the Rfam family "Bacterial small subunit ribosomal RNA". The record is from RNAcentral.